GUGGAUCUGUAGCUCAGUGGUAAAGUGCUUGCCUCGCAUCUGUGAGGCACUGGGUUUGAUCCUCAGCACCACA
Molecule: transfer RNA, 73 nt
Filed under: Marmota monax (woodchuck)
Lineage: Eukaryota; Metazoa; Chordata; Mammalia; Rodentia; Sciuridae
Description: tRNA.Ala
Source: RNAcentral